ACCAUUUUCCAUUUAUGGAAUUUCAUCUCUCUCCUCUCGAUUUCAAUUUUCAGAGCUGCAUCUUGUCUCCCAAACUCUCUCUUUCUCUCGAUGGUUUUGCCACCAACACUUGACUCACUAGCUCUCUCUCCUCUCCUUUCACUCGCUUCUCUCUCUCUUGACUCUCCUUUUAGCCAUAUGGUUUUACUUUUUGCAGGUUCUAUCAUGCCUUCCAAAUUGUUCUACCAAUUUACAAGUAAGUACCAAUCGAUCGGAUAUCCGUCGGCGUCUCCCCAAUUUUCCACGUCCACCUCCACCCUUCGUCAUCCCCCUCCCAUACUAUUUCCCACCCACCAACAACACCUCAUCCUGUCUGGUGCCCCGUCCCACUCCACUGGUACCAAAUUCAUGAAAAUCGAGCUUUCAUGGUUCUCCAGUGAUGACCCAUUCAACUGGUUAGCUUUGGCGGAAGAGUAUUUGGACUACCAUGGUGUCAACCCCCCAACAGGGUCACGGUGGUGGGCCUCCAUUUCACUUGUGAUCCGGCUUUGUGGUUCAAAUGGUACAAAUUGCAUAUUGGAUCCGUUUUAUGGGCCACCUUGACCGAAUGUCUCGUACAACGUUUUGGGCCAGAGCCUAAGGUUAGACCAAGGCACAACAUUUAGGGGUGUGGGCUUAAGAUGGACCUCCAGAAUGAUGUAUUAGCUCAAGCCCCUCAUUCUUUGGCCCACGCCAUCGAACUCGCCCGUAUCUAUGACAAUAAGCAACAACGAUGUCAUAGCACCUUCCGCCAAUACUCUCCUUGCCCUUCUUCGACAUCUCUGACAGUGUCCUCGACGACAUCUGCUCCACCCACAAGACCACUUCCCUCAUCGCCAACUCGGCCACCGCUGCACUUAUCUCCUGCAGAAGUCUGUGAGGGUAAUUUUCGGGGCCAAUGUUUAUAUUGUCCAGAGAAAUACUUUCCUAGCCAUAUGAUAAGUCGAUAUUAUACUUCAUAUUUUUGCCUUAUCUUAGUAUUAAUUUAUUAGUUAUUUUGGUAGAAUUUUGAUAUUUUGUUAUAUAUUUUCAAUGUAGCACAUUCGACUUCCUCUGAAGAAAAAAAGUUAUCAAACGGAUGAAUUUUGGAGUAAUUCCAAUGGAGGAUGUUCGUGAGCCUUUCAAGAUGAUUUUAUCAAAAUGUUAGAUUUUUCUACCAAGUCGUUUGACCGUGGCGAAGAAAUAAAGGCCCAGCAAGCAGCUUUCCCAAAUUGACGUUUCUGGACGCUUUGCGUAUUUUGAAGGUCAAGAUGGCAUAUUUUAAGGAAGAUUCAUCUAAGGAUUUGUUAAGGACAUCUCAAGCUUUAAAAAGAGACCUUUUGGGACCAAAUCAGAGUUGAUUUGGUUGGUCAUAAGUCUGAUUUUCUAAGAAGUUCGAAUUUCAAUUCAAAUAGAAAACCUUUUAUUUUCUAAUUAUCUUAUUCUAUUAUGUUUCCUAGUUUUUAGAAGACUUUUUCUAGGUAGGAUUUUAUUUUGUGGUAGUAUAAAUAAGGCUAUUUAGCCAUUAGAAAAGGAGAGAGAACAAAGGCAUCAAUUUGGAAGAACUUAGCUAGGCUUUGACGUUUUGUAUUUCAAGGUGUUUUCUAUCUUUUUUUUUAUUUCAAUAAAAUUCCUUUUGUUUUA
This is a long non-coding RNA of Pyrus x bretschneideri (Chinese white pear), 1641 nucleotides long. RefSeq lists it as uncharacterized. The transcript is spliced from 2 exons. Lineage: Eukaryota; Viridiplantae; Streptophyta; Magnoliopsida; Rosales; Rosaceae. The record is from RefSeq and is a predicted model, not a curated record.